UAAAAAUAUCUGCGUAUAAAUUAAAUUAAUCUUUGCGGCUUACUUCCGUUGCCUAGCGACAGGCGAACCGACGAAUGACGAGCCAGAUGUUUGCGUCAUUCGUCAGACACACCGCCGAAGCGAGAGAGACCGGCCGCGCAUCUGAGCGUUGGACUGUUCGGGCACCCGUCUGCCUGUUUUUCUAUUUUGGGAUUUAGCCUGGUUUGGUGGCCUCCCGGCGAAUUAUUGCGUUCAUUCGGAACUUCGAUAUGGCAGCACUGCACUAUUGGACUACGGCAAGCUCACGUCGUCUGGUGGAUCUUCCUGCGGAAACUACUGCUGCUUACCUGGUGCCACAACGUUGGAUGAAUGCACAAAAAGCCCGCGACGAGCAUUUACAAAGAAUAAAAUAAACGUAAAUUUUUCCUCA
Molecule: long non-coding RNA, 409 nt
Organism: Dermacentor andersoni
Lineage: Eukaryota; Metazoa; Arthropoda; Arachnida; Ixodida; Ixodidae
Source: RefSeq, a predicted model, not a curated record